Molecule: ribosomal RNA, 577 nt
Filed under: Schwanniomyces occidentalis
Lineage: Eukaryota; Fungi; Ascomycota; Pichiomycetes; Serinales; Debaryomycetaceae
Description: eukaryotic LSU rRNA
Rfam family: Eukaryotic large subunit ribosomal RNA
Source: RNAcentral
AGAAACCAACAGGGAUUGCCUUAGUAACGGCGAGUGAAGCGGCAAAAGCUCAAAUUUGAAAUCUGGCACCUUCGGUGUCCGAGUUGUAAUUUGAAGAAGGUAACUUUGGGAUUGGCUCUUGUCUAAGUUCCUUGGAACAGGACGUCACAGAGGGUGAGAAUCCCGUGCGAUGAGAUGACCAAUCCUAUGUAAAGUGCUUUCGAAGAGUCGAGUUGUUUGGGAAUGCAGCUCUAAGUGGGUGGUAAAUUCCAUCUAAAGCUAAAUAUUGGCGAGAGACCGAUAGCGAACAAGUACAGUGAUGGAAAGAUGAAAAGAACUUUGAAAAGAGAGUGAAAAAGUACGUGAAAUUGUUGAAAGGGAAGGGCUUGAGAUCAGACUUGGUAUUUUGCAUUCCUUACCUUCGUGGUGGGGUUCCUUGCAGUUUACUGGGCCAGCAUCGGUUUGGAUGGUGGGAUAAUGACAUUGGAAUGUGGCUCUGCUUCGGUAGAGUGUUAUAGCCAGUGUUGAUACCGCCUGUCUAGACCGAGGACUGCGUCUUUGACUAGGAUGCUGGCAUAAUGAUCUUAAGUCGCCCGUC